RNAcentral lists this ribosomal RNA (467 nucleotides) under uncultured bacterium. Its description in RNAcentral is "partial 16S ribosomal RNA". It matches the Rfam family "Bacterial small subunit ribosomal RNA", at positions 28 to 507 of the family's 1533-position model. The record is from RNAcentral.
GACGAACGCUGGCGGCGUGCUUAACACAUGCAAGUCGAACGGAAAGGCCCUGCUUUUGUGGGGUGCUCGAGUGGCGAACGGGUGAGUAACACGUGAGUAACCUGCCCUUGACUUUGGGAUAACUUCAGGAAACUGGGGCUAAUACCGCAUAGGAGCUCCUGCUGCAUGGUGGGUGUUGAAAGUUUCGGCGGUUGGGGAUGGACUCGCGGCUUAUCAGCUUGUUGGUGGGGUAGUGGCUUACCAAGGCUUUGACGGGUAGCCGGCCUGAGAGGGUGACCGGCCAAAUUGGGACUGAGACACGGCCCAGACUCGGACGGGAGGCAGCAGUGGGGAAUAUUGCACAAUGGGCGGAAGCCUGAUGAAGCAACGCCGCGUGCGGGAUGACGGCCUUCGGGUUGUAAACCGCUUUCGCCUGUGACGAAGCGUGAGUGACGGUAAUGGGUAAAGAAGCACCGGCUAACUACGUG